UUGACAUGUUCUUCUCAUUGAAAAAUAUUAAAUCUUUAUGAACGUAUAGUGCAUAGGGAUCUUGAUUCUCAUGCAACGCUGGUGCACUUUCUCUUUGGCAAAUAGCUGAAUAAUUCCAUCAUGAAUAAAGCACAACUGCCGGAAUUUUAUGGUCCGAUUUUAUUUGAUAAUUGCCAAUAUAAUGCUGUAAAAUGUAUUUUAUAUAUGCAGGCACCAACAAUUGCAGCAGCGGCACAUUGUUGAUGGGUUUGCAUGUCUUUAUCUCCUAAUCAUUUAAGUCAUCAACCAUUCUCUUUUUCUCAUUCUACCAUGAAUUGCUAAUUGGGUUUGCAUGUCUUUAUCUCCAUAGAUCUCAUCCUUGGAGAUGGACUCUAUAACUUCAUCAAAGUAUUGUCUUUCACCAUCAGAAGCUUCCAUGGUAGAUUGAAAUGGAAGGACCCUCAGAACAGGCAAUGUAGGAUCUAGAAAUUCAGAACAUUCUAUCUGACCCCAUCUUGUGUGCAAUAUCAAACUGCAGGUUCUGGACCCGUGGUGAGAAGAUUGAGCUUCUGGUAGACAAAACAGAGAACCUCCGCUCACAGGUGGUGAACCUCAAUAUCAUUAAGGGCCUGAACCUGCUGAAGGACUCUGAAAUACUGGUGCUGAUGCCUUUUACUGCUACACAACUCACCAAAUAUCGGCAAAAGAAACCGGUUCCUUGGAAACAAUGGCAAUCAUUGGCAACAAGGAGAUCAUUGAC
Molecule: long non-coding RNA, 739 nt
Organism: Magnolia sinica
Lineage: Eukaryota; Viridiplantae; Streptophyta; Magnoliopsida; Magnoliales; Magnoliaceae
Exons: 3
Source: RefSeq, a predicted model, not a curated record